GAUGAACGCCGGCGGCGUGCUUAACACAUGCAAGUCGAACGGGAAACCUUUUAUUGAAGCUUCGGCAGAUUUAGCUGGUUUCUAGUGGCGGACGGGUGAGUAACGCGUGGGUAACCUGCCUUAUACAGGGGGAUAACAGUCAGAAAUGGCUGCUAAUACCGCAUAAGCGCACAGAGCUGCAUGGCUCAGUGUGAAAAACUCCGGUGGUAUAAGAUGGACCCGCGUUGGAUUAGCUGGUUGGUGGGGUAACGGCCCACCAAGGCGACGAUCCAUAGCCGGCCUGAGAGGGUGAACGGCCACAUUGGGACUGAGACACGGCCCAGACUCCUACGGGAGGCAGCAGUGGGGAAUAUUGCACAAUGGGGGAAACCCUGAUGCAGCGACGCCGCGUGAAGGAAGAAGUAUCUCGGUAUGUAAACUUCUAUCAGCAGGGAAGAUAAUGACGGUACCUGACUAAGAAGCCCCGGCUAACUACGUG
RNAcentral lists this ribosomal RNA (478 nucleotides) under uncultured bacterium. RNAcentral's name for it is "partial 16S ribosomal RNA". It matches the Rfam family "Bacterial small subunit ribosomal RNA", at positions 28 to 507 of the family's 1533-position model. The record is from RNAcentral.